This 1078-nucleotide long non-coding RNA is filed under the name Homo sapiens (human). RNAcentral describes it as "HSALNT0257400". The record is from RNAcentral. Lineage: Eukaryota; Metazoa; Chordata; Mammalia; Primates; Hominidae.
CAGCCAUAAGUAGAGAGUAGCAUCACCUAGUUUCUGGUCCAGCGAUAUGUCACAAUUUCAUCUGUGGGCUAAAUCCAGGCAGGAGAGUAAACUAUACAGAGGCAUAUGGCACAAUCACCCUUGCGUAUACAGAGGCAUAUGGCACAAUCGUGCUUGCAGGAAGGUCCACAGAUGAGAUCAACAAUUCUGUACAUAUCCUGCUUCUGUGGGCACCAGGAAGACAGGAGAGGAGACUCACAUUACCUGGGAGCAAGGCUCUGAGAUAUGUUACAAUGUCCUUUUUGGGUAGCACCAAAGCAGGAGAAUAGAGUUACGUCACCUAGGUGCUGGGUCCAGCAGUGUGGCACAAUCCUAUCUGUAGGCUGUGCUGGUGCUAAAGAGUCACAUUACUCAGGUGCAAGGCAGAGGUGUAUGUCAAAAUCACACCUGCAGGAAGGACAGGGGAUGAGAUGAACAAUACUGUACAUAUCCCGAUUCUAGGUAUGAGAGUCAACACCUCCUGUAUGUUGGUUCUAAGUACACUAGUCACAGUCUCUGAAAUGAACUGAAUCAGUGCAUGAGAAACUCAGUCCCUCUUACCACUGUGCCUCCUUAGUGGAAUCACAGCCUCACAGGUGGGUCAAAUUUUAGUCUGAAAGUCACCAACUUACCUUUGAACUGGAUCCACAUAUGAGAGUAAAUUUUCCACCUUGCAACUGCAUCUGUGUGAGAUUCAGAACCUCAACAGUAGGCUGUGUUCAUGUGAGAAGAUGACAACAUUUACUGUCGGCUGGGUGUACAUAUGAGUGUCAAAAUCUCAACUGUACUUUGGGCCCAGUUAGAACAUGCUCUGUACCAGCCAAGUGUUUUAUAAGGUAUGCAUAAGAGUCACAGUCCUUUGUGACUGGGAGACAUUCGUGCUGGUUUGGACUCAUGAUUGUGCCUGUGGCUCUAUGCCCAGUUAUAAGAGUUAACUUCUCUGCAAUGGCUCAGUCCAGAUAUAAGAGUUGUCCCCUGCCUAUAAGCUUGGCUUACUAAGGAGUCACCACCUCUGCUGUUGCCUGAUGUUCACAUACGACAGUCACAAUUUCAACUCUGC